GAUGAACGCUGGCGGCGUGCCUAAUACAUGCAAGUCGAGCGAACGGACGAGAAGCUUGCUUCUCUGAUGUUAUCGGCGGACGGGUGAGUAACACGUGGAUAACCUACCUAUAAGACUGGGAUAACUUCGGGAAACCGGAGCUAAUACCGGAUGAUAUUUUGAACCGCAUGGUUCAAAAGUGAAAGACGGUCUUGCUGUCACUUAUAGGUGGAUCCGCGCUGCAUUAGCUAGUUGGUAAGGUAACGGCUUACCAAGGCAACGAUGCAUAGCCGACCUGAGAGAGUGAUCGGCCACACUGGAACUGAGACACGGUCAAGACUCCUACGGGAGGCAGCAGUAGGGAAUCUUCCGCAGUGGGCGAAAGCCUGACGGAGCAACGCCGCGUGAGUGAUGAAGGUCUUCGGAUCGUAAAACUCUGUUAUUAGGGAAGAACAUAUGUGUAAGUAACUGUGCACAUCUUGACGGUACCUAAUCAGAAAGCCACGGCUAACUACGUG
RNAcentral lists this ribosomal RNA (497 nucleotides) under uncultured bacterium. RNAcentral describes it as "partial 16S ribosomal RNA". It matches the Rfam family "Bacterial small subunit ribosomal RNA", at positions 28 to 507 of the family's 1533-position model. The record is from RNAcentral.